GAUGAACGCUGGCGGCGUGCUUAACACAUGCAAGUCGAACGGUGAACACGGAGCUUGCUCUGUGGGAUCAGUGGCGAACGGGUGAGUAACACGUGAGCACCCUGCCCCUGACUCUGGGAUAAGCGCUGGCAACGGCGUCUAAUACUGGAUAUGUGACGUGACCGCAUGGUCUGCGUUUGGAAAGAUUUUUCGGUUGGGGAUUGGCUCGCGUCCUAUCAGCUUGUUGGUGAGGUCAUGGCUCACCAAGGCGUCGACGGGUAGCCGGCCUGAGAGGGUGACCGGCCACACUGGGAUUGAGACACGGCCCAGACUCCUACGGGAGGCAGCAGUGGGGAAUAUUGCACAAUGGGCGAAAGCCUGAUGCAGCAACGCCGCGUGAGGGAUGACGGACUUCGGGUUGUAAACCUUUUUUAGCAGGGAAGAAGCGAAAGUGACGGUACCUGCAGAAAAAGCGCCGGCUAACUACGUG
RNAcentral lists this ribosomal RNA (469 nucleotides) under uncultured bacterium. Its description in RNAcentral is "partial 16S ribosomal RNA". It matches the Rfam family "Bacterial small subunit ribosomal RNA", at positions 28 to 507 of the family's 1533-position model. The record is from RNAcentral.